Non-coding RNA from Macaca mulatta (Rhesus monkey), 3639 nucleotides. The record is from RefSeq and is a predicted model, not a curated record. Lineage: Eukaryota; Metazoa; Chordata; Mammalia; Primates; Cercopithecidae.
GCGGAAGGGGCUCUCGCCGAAGCGCUCCUCCAGUUGCCGGCGAAGCUUGGGUGGGCGGGUGAGGUGGGCGGGGUCAAGGCCGGCCGCGGGACUGGGUCAAGGCAGCCGGCCCCGCCCCCACCCUCCCGACCUUCGCCCUUCUCCGAGCGUCCCAUACCUCGCUGAGCCCCUCCCUUCCUGAGCGUCUUCUUUGCCUCCCGUCUCCCGGGUUUCCAUCCCGUCACUGAGUUCCUCUUCCCUUCUAGGAGGACCUUCCCUCUCCCUGACCCCUCUUCCGCCUUUGACACUCCCGUUUCCAGACCUGCUAAAUUGACCCCAGGCGCCCAGCGGGAUCACUCCUCCCUCUUUGCACUUCUGGGUAACUCCUCCCGCUUUGCACCUCUGUGCUCACAACCCCAUUCCCACAGGUUUCUUCCUUGCCCGACUCUUUCCCAACGCCGUCCUGCAGAUAAGCCUCUGGGUACCGCCCUCAACCUGCUGAGAGCCCUCCCCCUCUCAUCCUUUGUUCCCAGGGAAGCUUAGUUCCUGACAUUUCUACGUGGCAUCUGCCCAAGAGGUAUAAGAGGGAAACUGCUGUGGUCUCAUCAAGGACACAGGGGUGGAGUAGGACAUAGUUCUCCCCGAUGGGGUCAAACACUCAAAUCCUUCAGGUUCCAGCCAGGUAGGGCAGGCAGUGGGAAGUGCUGGAAGACCUAGUCAAAUGGGAGGGCCCGCACUGAUCUAAAGGCAUUCAAAUUCUACAUUGAAAAAGAAAACACCUGGCUGUCUGACAAAAUACACCUAGGAGCUGGAUUAGCUCAAAGGCCAUGAGUUUGAGACCCUAGAAAAAUCCGGGUCUGAGGCACAGGCUAAAUUUGUUCCAAUCAGUGAUCAGUUUGAGUGGGAAGAAGGAUCUCCCACCCAUGGCCCAACCCAGCCCUUGACCCCAUCCAUCCCUACCUUCUGGGAACUGCCCCAGCCAAACUCUUCAAGCUGCUGCCUAAAGCCUGGGUUGGGGUUGGCGAUGGGCCGGGUGGCCUUGAUGGCUUCAAGCACGUCCCGCCAGCCUAGCCCCGUCACAGUCAUCACAUACGCCGUCACAAUCGUGGUGCUGCGAGAGAUGCCUGCAAAGCUGGGAUCCCCGACAACCCCUCAGGCUUCAAGUAAGAUCCAGUGUCCUCCAUGCCCCCCACGCACCCCACCCUGCUUCAGCUCUCCCACCCUUGCCUCCUGAGCUCCAACCAUAAGGGACCUGUCAGGACUUGCCAUCCCACCUCCAGGCCUUUGCCAUGCUGUUCCCUCUGCCUAGAGCACCCCCUGGGUUCUCCCACAUCAAAGGCCUGAGUGAAACACCAUUCAUUCAGUCAACAAAUAUGUCCUGAGCAUCUGUUCUUUUUCAGGCACUGGGAAUGUAGCGGGUAUAAAACAGACACGGCCUUUGCUGUCCUGGAGCUUACAGUAUGGCUGGGGGGACAGACAUUGAUCAGAGAAUCAAUUCCAGGUGGUGAUAAUAGCUUUGAGGAUGAGUCUGGGGGCUAGGAGAUCCACAUAGGAAGAGGUAUUAAUCUAUAGGUGGAGUGGGGUUAGAGAAGGGGUUCCCAAGGAAUAGACAUCAAUGAAGUUUGAAAGAUGGAUAAGGGUUACUCAGGAACCUUGUGGGCAGUGUGUACAAAGACCAUGAGGCAUAAGCCUUGUAGAUUUGGAAGAUGGGGAGGAGGUUAGUACAGCUGGAAAGGGGAAGGAGGGAGAGGGUGGGAGAUGAGACUUGGGAAACCAGCCUCGUUGCUGGGCCUCCAGCAGAGCCAGCCUGAGCCUGGAUAGGAUGGGCGCUCAGCGAGAAGUUAAGGAAUGAAUGACAUCAACUGAGUGAGGGGCACCUGGGAAGACCCAGAAUUCUUGUCUCCCAGCUUGGGGUUCCUCACUACCCUGCACCAUCACCUCCAAGGCCUGGAGGGGAGGAGAGAGGCCCAGAACUACUGGAGGGUGAACUACUUGCAUGACCUCACUAUUCCUCCCAACAGUCCCGUCAGGUCAGCUUUCUUUCUUUUCCCCAUUUUACAGAUGAGGACAUUGAGUCUCCGAAAGAAACAGCUACUUGGCUAUGGCCACACAGCUCAUAAGGAAUAGAGCCCCGGGUUGGCCGCUCUCCAAUGAAUGGUGGGCCCUCAGGCACUGUGACAGGCUGGAGAAGAUCCUUCACAGGUUCAACCUUCCCAUAGGAUGAGUAUGUGUUCAACAGAGGGCACAGCCACUUCCUUCCUCCCCCACCUUACCCCCCAACCUUGACUCACCAGUGCACAAGGCAGUUCCCCCCAUUAAGGCGGCAGCAGUGGAUGAAGUUGAUACAUUCUUUGAAGUGCUUUUUGCUAGAGGAGAAAGCAAUAGGGUAGGGAGCACUGUGGAGCAGAUCUCUCAGGAGUUGUUCCACCCCCACCCCAAUUACAGGAUAGCAAGGGACACAGAGCACUGGGUUCCCCAGGUCAGCCAGCACAUGCAGUGAAUAGGGGCCAGUACUUAGCAUGAGCUGGAGGUGUGUGUGUGUGAAGCAAGAAUGGUGGCAUUUCAGGCAGUGAGAGAGGCCAGUCAGGGCCAAUCUCACCAUCUAGGCAGGAGCACUCCUCCUGUGGACCCUGUUAUCAUGAUGGGUUUAUUGUGGCCUUUCAAAGAAAUGGGUGGGAGGAAAUACAAGGGUCCCACUCCUCUGGGGUCUGCAAUCAGAGCACCUGGGCACAAUGACGGGCAGCAGCGGGCUGGGAGCAAGAUUCCCAAGGGGCAGGACUGUCUGCCUGGCUCCAUCCCAAGCGGGGACGCAUGACUACUGAUGUUACAAACAAAAAUCCCAUUUUCUGAGCUUGGUUAUACUUCAGGCCCUAUGCUAGAUCCUUGACCUCUGUCAUCUGAUCUUUGAAAGCCUCCUUGACUCUGAUCAUGCACUCUGGUGAGGCUCAGAGAGGGGAAGUGAUUUGUUCAAGGUCACACAGCAAGUAAAUGGCAAAGCCUGGCUGGAACCCAGAUGUCUUAACCCCAAGGCCAGGAACAGACUGAACGUGACCCUUUCAAAUCAGCCGGUGUAGCUGGUCCCAAGGAGGCGGCUGUCUGUCCAUCUGUGGGUCCAUCCAGGGGAACUUACAUGGGUACCUCAGGGGUAUCAGCCACCGGGAUGCGAAGGUAGGUGAUAUCCUACAAGUACAAAAUACACUCAGGCAGGGGACCUUGCUUGCAACCCUCCCUGACGCUGGUCUGAGCUGCCCAGGCAGGGCAUGACCCCAGCCCAGUUCCUGCCCCUCUCUGGCCCACCGUGGUCCUCUCUGUCCAAAGAAAGUAGUCAUCUCUGAGGCCUCCCAGCUGUGACCACUUGUGAUUCCUGAACCUUCUAAGCAGAUGGUGUCUCCUAACCCCAUCAGCGACUUGGGCAUGAGGUCUUCUAUCCCUCCCAACAGGGACCCAGGAACCUUUAUCAAAUCACCAGGAAAGGGCUACUUAAAGGGACUCCAUUCCAAAUGCAAAUUACAAAAUUACUUCGUAAAAAAGGUAAAGCAGAUUUGAUUAUCUUGAAGAGAAACAAAAAUCAUGAAAACAAGUAUACAUUUCAUGAAUCCUGGUUAUAAAAUGAUGUGCUAAUUGUGAGAAUAAGGAAUAAAUUGUCAGGUUUUUUUUCCA